Long non-coding RNA from Herpailurus yagouaroundi (jaguarundi), 576 nucleotides. RefSeq lists it as uncharacterized. Lineage: Eukaryota; Metazoa; Chordata; Mammalia; Carnivora; Felidae. The transcript has 2 exons. The record is from RefSeq and is a predicted model, not a curated record.
CCUAAUGUGACUGCAUAUCUGCAUUUAUAGCAUCUGAAUUUAUAACAUAUCUGUAUUUCUGACAGGGUCUAUCGGUGAUCCUUCUGCGACAAGAUCACCAAAUAUUUUCUUUACGUACUUAACACCGGUCAAUGCUUAUUUUUCUGCAGGUACUCACCUCCGCUCUGAGCUGCCAAACAGGCUUGUCUCCAGGAUUCAUCUCCACUAAUUAAGAAGCUGAGUCCGAAGGAAAAAAAUAGGCCCCGCCCCCACCAGUUCCUCCUCCAGGCGCUUCAAUCCUGAUGAUUGCCCCUUUGCAAACACUUGGAGUUGCAAUCCAGGGAAUCCUGUAAAAUAUCUUCCACUCAUUUGCUAAAGCUGAAAGUAUGUUCAUAUAUCAAAUCCCUGGAGAUGUCCUGUCUUUCUCUCCUUUGUUCAAACUAUAUUUUGUGAAUAUGGUACAGAGCUUGUUAAGUGGUGAUCAGAUCAUUCUCUAGUUGGAUUUAAAAGACUUUUCCUUUGAUAGAUGCACAUGCACUUCCUCUGCCAAUUCUCUCAAAAGCUUUCUUUUACAUUAAAGAAGAUGCUAACGUUAAA